This is a long non-coding RNA of Brassica napus (rape), 1564 nucleotides long. RefSeq lists it as uncharacterized. The record is from RefSeq and is a predicted model, not a curated record. Lineage: Eukaryota; Viridiplantae; Streptophyta; Magnoliopsida; Brassicales; Brassicaceae. The transcript is spliced from 3 exons.
GAUUAAUACAUUAUUUUUUGUUAAUUAUUAUGUUAGAAAGAGUUUCUUAUUUAAAAUGUACUUCUCACUUCGCCUAAUUUAAAACACUUAUACAAAAACAGAUAUUUUAUUUUGCGUGAAAGUUCAUUGUGUCCCUUGAAUCUCUUCAUAAAAGUAACCAAAGUAGAAUAUUUUUCAACUGUUUUUUUUGUUUCAACAAUUCGUUUUAAUUCUAGACCACUUGAUUAUUAUAUUCUUUUUUUUUGUCAACCACUCGAUUAUUAUAUUCUUCUAGCUAAUUCUUGCUAUUUUUACCUUAAUUUUUUUCCUUUCAUUAUCUACCGAUAAGAAAAAAAAUACUGAUUGAGAUGAAAAGACGCUAUAAACUUAUAUCUAUACCGCAGAAGAUUAGCUGAACACGACGGUGUAAAUCGAAAGUCAUCAAGAUGGAAGUAGAUGUUUGGGACAUGAAGCUCCUUAAUAAUUUACUCGAAAAUCAAAUUUCUAUUAAAGGUGUGUUAUCCGAUGGAGGGGACUGAGGAGUUUGAGUUCCAUAAAGAGUUCCAUUUCGAAAAAAAAUGUUUCCAGCUCAAAGCGCUUAAGUGAGUGUUAUCCUCCUGUAAGCUCAUACAUGCUAUGAUGACUAAACAGUCAGUCUCCAAGAAUAUAUGUUAUGUGAUCAAUGGUUGGUGGACACCCUCUUAGAUUUUGGACACUACUAUCUCUAAACGUUAUAUGUUUCCAAGCAAACAAUUGAACAUUAUUCGACGAGAAUCAUAGUUGUUUGGCAAUUAGUUUUUGGAUUUCGUUGACAGGUUGUGCUCUUGAUAAUGACGUCAAACUGCAUACAACUAUGGUGGGAUGCUUAACAUGGGAGAAGGAUUGAAUGAGAUUAAUGUACAUAUGAUAAUGAAUUGAUGGAGUAAAAUUGUUGAUCACAGCUUUCAUGUGAUGUGUGUAGAUGUGUAUUCACCUUGUAGACAAUAAAAGAGAGAUCAUUGUAUAUUGAAUGUAUGUAGAAAACAAUGAGGUUAAGGUUAGGCCUGUAAUUGGUAAUAUAUUUUUCUACUUGCAUAUAUGAAAGAGGUUAUAGUACUGCAAUAUCACAUAGAAACAUGAUCCCGAAAAGAUUAUUUGUGUUCAACGUAGACAAUAUAAAAUUAAGUAAGGUUUAAUGUUCAUUUGAAGAUAAAGUGGUAAAUGAGGUAAUGCGGACACAACAACAAAAAAUAUAUCCAAAAGUUCAUGAGGAGUCAUAAACUAGAGUUUAGGCAUGCGGGUUCGGUUUAUUUGGGUACUUUGGGUAGGUUAUUCUGGAAUUUGGUUAGUUUGGGUCGGUCAAAAUGUCACCAUAGUGAACAGGAAAAAAUUUUGGUUCGGUUUUCAGUUAGUUCGGUUUCAAAUUUUUUACCGAAGUAUUUUGUGUUGCGGUUAGGUCGGUUAAAAUUUUGGUAUAAAAUUAAAAAAUUCAAAAAAAUUCGAUUAUUUCAAUUCGGAAUUUGGUUAGCUUGGUUUGGUAAUUUUGGUUAGUUCGGUUAUUUCGAUUCGGAUUUUGGUUAGUUUGAUUAGUUCAGAAUUUUGGUUA